This 868-nucleotide ribosomal RNA is filed under the name uncultured archaeon. RNAcentral describes it as "bacterial SSU rRNA". It matches the Rfam family "Archaeal small subunit ribosomal RNA", at positions 1 to 878 of the family's 1478-position model. The record is from RNAcentral.
CUCCGGUUGAUCCCGCCGGACCCGACUGCUAUCAGAGUGGGACUAAGCCAUGCGAGUCGACGUAGCAAUGCGUGGCGAACGGCUCAGUAACACGUAGUCAACAUGCCCAGGGGACGUGGAUAACCUCGGGAAACUAAGAAUAAACCACGAUAGGUCACGAUUUCUGGAAUGGAUCAUGGCCUAAAUCUACAUGGCCCCUGGAUUGGACUGCGGCCGAUCAGGCUGUUGGUGAGGUAAUGGCCCACCAAACCUAUAACCGGUACGGGCUCUGAGAGGAGAAGCCCGGAGAUGGGCACUGAGACAAGGGCCCAGGCCCUAUGGGGCGCAGCAGGCGCGAAACCUCUGCAAUAGGCGAAAGCCUGACAGGGUUACUCUGAGUGAUUUCCGUUAAGGAGAUCUUUUGGCACCUCUAAAAAUGGUGCAGAAUAAGGGGUGGGCAAGUCUGGUGUCAGCCGCCGCGGUAAUACCAGCACCCCGAGUGGUCGGGACGUUUAUUGGGCCUAAAGCAUCCGUAGCCGGUUCUACAAGUCUUCCGUUAAAUCCACCUGCUUAACAGAUGGGCUGCGGAAGAUACUAUAGAGCUAGGAGGCGGGAGAGGCAAGCGGUACUCGAUGGGUAGGGGUAAAAUCCGUUGAUCCAUUGAAGACCACCAGUGGCGAAGGCGGCUUGCCAGAACGCGCUCGACGGUGAGGGAUGAAAGCUGGGGGAGCAAACCGGAUUAGAUACCCGGGUAGUCCCAGCUGUAAACGAUGCAGACUCGGUGAUGAGUUGGCUUAUUGCUAACUCAGUGCCGCAGGGAAGCCGUUAAGUCUGCCGCCUGGGUAGUACGGUCGCAAGACUGAAACUUAAAGGAAUUGGCGGGGGAGCA